GGGGAAUUUUGGACAAUGGGGGCAACCCUGAUCCAGCCAUCCCGCGUGUGCGAUGAAGGCCUUCGGGUUGUAAAGCACUUUUGGCAGGGAAGAAACAGCCUGGGCUAAUAUCCCGGGCGACUGACGGUACCUGCGGAAUAAGCACCGGCUAACUACGUGCCAGCAGCCGCGGUAAUACGUAGGGUGCAAGCGUUAAUCGGAAUUACUGGGCGUAAAGCGUGCGCAGGCGGUUCGGAAAGAAAGGUGUGAAAUCCCAGGGCUUAACCUUGGAACUGCACUUUUAACUACCGGGCUAGAGUACGUCAGAGGGGGGUAGAAUUCCACGUGUAUCAGUGAAAUGCGUAGAGAUGUGGAGGAAUACCGAUGGCGAAGGCAGCCCCCUGGGAUGAUACUGACGCUCAUGCACGAAAGCGUGGGGAGCAAACA
Molecule: ribosomal RNA, 426 nt
Filed under: uncultured bacterium
Lineage: Bacteria
Description: bacterial SSU rRNA
Rfam family: Bacterial small subunit ribosomal RNA
Source: RNAcentral